UACGAAGGGGGCUAGCGUUGCUCGGAAUGACUGGGCGUAAAGGGCGCGUAGGCGGUUUGUACAGUCAGAUGUGAAAUUCCUGGGCUCAACCUGGGGGCUGCAUUUGAUACGUGCGGACUUGAGUGAGGAAGAGGGUCGUGGAAUUCCCAGUGUAGAGGUGAAAUUCGUAGAUAUUGGGAAGAACACCGGUGGCGAAGGCGGUGACCUGGUCCUUGACUGACGCUGAGGCGCGAAAGCGUGGGGAGCAAACAGG
RNAcentral lists this ribosomal RNA (253 nucleotides) under uncultured bacterium. RNAcentral describes it as "partial 16S ribosomal RNA". It matches the Rfam family "Bacterial small subunit ribosomal RNA", at positions 524 to 776 of the family's 1533-position model. The record is from RNAcentral.